CACGUAGUUAGCCGUGACUGAUUCCUCGGGUACCGUCCUUCCUCUUCCCCAAGAAAAGGAGUUUACAAUCCAAAAGACCUUCAUCCUCCACGCGGCGUUGCUGCGUCGGGGUUGCCCCCAUUGCGCAAUAUUCCUCACUGCUGCCCCCGUAGGAGUCGGGACCGUUUCUCAGUUCCCGUGUGGCUGAUCGUCCUCUCAGACCAGCUACCGAUCUCAGCCUUGGUGAGCCAUUACCUCACCAACUAGCUAAUCGGACGCAGGCCCCUCUGGAAGCGCCUGAGCUUUACCUAUCGGUGUUCCCACACCCAUAGGACCAUGCGGUAUUAGCCACCGUUUCCAGUGGUUAUCCCCCUCUUCCAGGCAGGUUACCUACGUGUUACUCACCCGUCCGCCACUUUCAAGAAUACAAGUAUUCUCUCACGUUCGACUUGCAUGUGUUAGGCACGCCGCCAGCGUUCAUCCUGAGCCAGGAUCAAACUC
This 480-nucleotide ribosomal RNA is filed under the name uncultured Caldilinea sp. RNAcentral describes it as "partial 16S ribosomal RNA". The record is from RNAcentral. Lineage: Bacteria; Bacillati; Chloroflexota; Caldilineae; Caldilineales; Caldilineaceae.